GGCAUAGCCAAGCGGUAAGGCAACGGACUUUGACUCCGUCAGUCGAUGGUUCGAAUCCAUCUGUCC
Molecule: transfer RNA, 66 nt
Filed under: pig gut metagenome
Rfam family: tRNA
About the family: Transfer RNA (tRNA) molecules are approximately 80 nucleotides in length. Their secondary structure includes four short double-helical elements and three loops (D, anti-codon, and T loops). Further hydrogen bonds mediate the characteristic L-shaped molecular structure. tRNAs have two regions of fundamental functional importance: the anti-codon, which is responsible for specific mRNA codon recognition, and the 3' end, to which the tRNAs corresponding amino acid is attached (by aminoacyl-tRNA synthetases). tRNAs cope with the degeneracy of the genetic code in two manners: having more than one tRNA (with a specific anti-codon) for a particular amino acid; and 'wobble' base-pairing, i.e. permitting non-standard base-pairing at the 3rd anti-codon position.
Source: RNAcentral